This 425-nucleotide ribosomal RNA is filed under the name uncultured bacterium. RNAcentral's name for it is "bacterial SSU rRNA". It matches the Rfam family "Bacterial small subunit ribosomal RNA", at positions 354 to 796 of the family's 1533-position model. The record is from RNAcentral.
GUGGGGAAUAUUGGACAAUGGGGGAAACCCUGAUCCAGCAAUGCCGCGUGAGUGAUGAAGGCCUUCGGGUUGUAAAGCUCUUUUGGCGGGGACGAUGAUGACGGUACCCGCAGAAUAAGCCCCGGCUAACUUCGUGCCAGCAGCCGCGGUAAUACGAAGGGGGCUAGCGUUGUUCGGAAUUACUGGGCGUAAAGGGCGCGUAGGCGGCUUGGUAAGUUGGACGUGAAAGGCCUGGGCUCAACCUGGGACAUGCGUUCGAAACUGCUGGGCUUGAGUGUGGGAGAGGAUGGUGGAAUUCCCAGUGUAGAGGUGAAAUUCGUAGAUAUUGGGAAGAACACCGGUGGCGAAGGCGGCCAUCUGGACCACAACUGACGCUGAGGCGCGAAAGCGUGGGGAGCAAACAGGAUUAGAAACCCGAGUAGUCC